CCUACGGGAGGCAGCAGUGGGGAAUAUUGGGCAAUGGGCGCAAGCCUGACCCAGCAAUGCCGCGUGAAGGACGCAGGCUUUCGGGUUGUAAAAUUCUUUGACAGGGGAAGAGCAGAAGACGGUACCCUGAAAACCAGCCACGGCUAACUACGUGCCAGCAGCCGCGGUCAUACGUAGGUGGCAAGCGUUGUCCGGAUUUACUGGGUGUAAAGGGCGUGUAGCCGGGAAUGCAAGUCAGAUGUGACAUCUGGAGGCGCAACCUCCAAAUUGCAUUUGAAACUGUGUUUCUUGAGUACUGGAGAGGCAGGCGGAAGUCCUUGUGUAGCGGUGAAAUGCGUAGAUAUAAGGAGGAACACCAGUGGCGAAGGCGGUCUACUGGACAGCAACUGACGGUGAGGCGCGAAAGCGUGGGGAGCAAACAGGAUUAGAUACCCGUGUAGUC
RNAcentral lists this ribosomal RNA (442 nucleotides) under uncultured bacterium. RNAcentral's name for it is "partial 16S ribosomal RNA". It matches the Rfam family "Bacterial small subunit ribosomal RNA", at positions 338 to 795 of the family's 1533-position model. The record is from RNAcentral.